Spinacia oleracea (spinach) is the source of this 800-nucleotide long non-coding RNA. RefSeq lists it as uncharacterized. The transcript is spliced from 2 exons. The record is from RefSeq and is a predicted model, not a curated record. Lineage: Eukaryota; Viridiplantae; Streptophyta; Magnoliopsida; Caryophyllales; Amaranthaceae.
UUAUCUAUUAAUAAUUUUCUCAAUUUGAUUUAUUUUUAUGAGGUUUUCGCUAGUAAAGAAAAAAUGUAGAAUUGUAAAUCGAAUUAUUGACAAUAUUUUACGAUUUGAAUCGCGAUUUUAAUGGAAGAAAACGAACCACCUAACCGUCUGACAAGCCAUGUUUGGUUUGUAGGUAUUGUUAAUUACAGGAAAGAAACUAAGCGAAAAUUCCCGAGUGCCCAAUCGCUUCUGCAAAACUGCAACCGGCGAUGGCGACGGCAACCUGGUACUGCACAAGUUUAGCUUGUUUUUUUAGAGUUUCUUUUUUCCCCUAUGCUGCUGAAGAUUGAACACAAAAACAUUUACACGUGAUGUAGUAUUCGUAAAAGUUGUUUGAGGCGUAUUUGGGUGUCCGAGAGAAGGCAUCCCCAUCCCGAAAGCAAGGGUUGGCUCACUUGGUACGAAUCUUAACCAAGUGAGGUUGUCCGUAGAUCAUAACAACUUAUUGGAGAUCAGAGUGAAUUGUUGCGUUUUUUGGAGCAAGUUUUCCAUUUUUUCAACUAAUUAUUGUGAAACGGUGUCAUCUAAGACAGCCUCAAACAAAUUGGGUGGUUCAAGAUGCUAUGAUCGAAACUAGAGGCUGACAUAUUUUUCAUCUUCUUCACGCAAAAGAGUGUUUGUUACUGGUGUUGGUAGAAUGGUAGCCAAAGUGUAUGAAACAAGUUCAAAUGCGAGUCAAAGUUGGAUGUACGCUAAAUGCAGUAUGAGAUAUGGUUAGGCAUAAAUUCUAGUAUAUCCUCAAUGAGCAAUCCUUUCAUUAA